Non-coding RNA from Pogona vitticeps (central bearded dragon), 403 nucleotides. The record is from RefSeq and is a predicted model, not a curated record. Lineage: Eukaryota; Metazoa; Chordata; Lepidosauria; Squamata; Agamidae.
GGGGCACUCCCACAGGAAACAGAAAAAACUGAAUCAGUGUUGGGAAUAAUAGAUCUGUUUAAAGUAAAUGGUUCUAAGCCUUCUUGGACAUCUCCCUUACCCUUUGAGAGCAAAAGAGGGAAGGGAAACUGCAAAAGGCCUAUCAACUGUACAAUUCUUUGCUUCUGGAAGAAGAACAACCUGACAUCCUUAUCACUGGCAUUGCUAGGAGUGACAACUGAGAGUUGAUGGUUUGGGGGAACAUGAAAGCAGCGGGGGGGGGAUCCCUCUCUUUCUUCCCACCCUUCCCACCCAGUGAAGAGAAUGGAAACAUGAAACAUGGCAGGUCCACAUAAGCUAGCACUGAGCCAUGUGGCUGCUCCAACAAUUUCAUGACUAUAUCCUCUUAGUGUUAACAACUUGA